AUUGAACGCUGGCGGCAUGCUUUACACAUGCAAGUCGAACGGUAACAGGCCGCAAGGUGCUGACGAGUGGCGAACGGGUGAGUAAUGCAUCGGAACGUGCCCAGUCGUGGGGGAUAACUAUCCGAAAGGAUAGCUAAUACCGCAUACGAUCUGCGGAUGAAAGCGGUGGACCUUCGGGCCUCGCGCGAUUGGAACGGCCGAUGUCAGAUUAGGUAGUUGGUGGGGUAAAGGCUCACCAAGCCAACGAUCUGUAGCUGGUCUGAGAGGACGACCAGCCACACUGGGACUGAGACACGGCCCAGACUCCUACGGGAGGCAGCAGUGGGGAAUUUUGGACAAUGGGCGCAAGCCUGAUCCAGCAAUGCCGCGUGCAGGAAGAAGGCCUUCGGGCUGUAAACUGCUUUUGUACGGAACGAAACGGCUCUGGUUAAUACCUGGGGCUAAUGACGGUACCGUAAGAAUAAGCACCGGCUAACUACGUGCCAGCCGCCGCAGUAA
RNAcentral lists this ribosomal RNA (498 nucleotides) under uncultured bacterium. Its description in RNAcentral is "partial 16S ribosomal RNA". It matches the Rfam family "Bacterial small subunit ribosomal RNA", at positions 30 to 523 of the family's 1533-position model. The record is from RNAcentral.